UUGCUUUGCUCGUACAUAUAUACUAAAAUUGAAAUGAUAUAAAGAAGAUUAGCAGGGCCCCUGUGCAAGGAUGACAUGCAAAUUCAUGAAGCAUUCCAUAUUUUU
Small nuclear RNA from Phodopus roborovskii (desert hamster), 105 nucleotides. NCBI's taxonomy places the organism in Eukaryota, Metazoa, Chordata, Mammalia, Rodentia, Cricetidae. The record is from RefSeq and is a predicted model, not a curated record.